GCGGUCGUGGCGGAAUUGGUAUACGCGCAGCACUAAGGAUGCUGUGGAGAAAUCCUUGGGGGUUCAAGUCCCCCCGGCCGCACCA
Molecule: transfer RNA, 85 nt
Filed under: Alphaproteobacteria bacterium
Lineage: Bacteria; Pseudomonadati; Pseudomonadota; Alphaproteobacteria
Description: tRNA-Leu
Rfam family: tRNA
About the family: Transfer RNA (tRNA) molecules are approximately 80 nucleotides in length. Their secondary structure includes four short double-helical elements and three loops (D, anti-codon, and T loops).
Source: RNAcentral